Molecule: long non-coding RNA, 5336 nt
Filed under: Sus scrofa (pig)
Lineage: Eukaryota; Metazoa; Chordata; Mammalia; Artiodactyla; Suidae
Description: lncRNA (ENSSSCG00030028723.1)
Source: RNAcentral
CUUUUUGCCAUUUCUUGGGCUGCUCUCGUGGCAUAUGGAGGUUCCCAGGCUAAGGGUCAAAUUGAAACCAUAGCUGCCGGCCUACACCAGAGCCACAGCAACACAGGAUCCAAGCCGAGUCUGCAACCUACACCACAGCUCACAUCAAUGCCAGAUCCUUAACCCACUGAGCAAGGCCAGGGAUCGAACCCACAGCCUCAUGGUUCCUAGUCGGAUUUGUUAACUGAGCCACAAUGGGAACUCCCUACAAAUUAUCUUAAAGUGGAACUUUGGGAGAUAGUUCUACCUAAAAAGAACUGUGACCAUGUUAACAUGUGAAAUAUUUUUGAAAUACCUACUAGCCAUUAGGCACUGUGAAAAAGAUGGAAACUAUAACAGCACACGAGGAAUAAGUGGCUUCUGCCUAUACAGCCUGACUUUACAAUAAUUUGUGCUAUUGUUCCUCAAGGGUAGGUAUCAGGGAGAUGUAUUCCUGAGGUCAGGAAAUGUCAUGUGCAAGACAGCAUUUUAUUUUUUAUUUUUUUAAAUGAUUUUUAUUUGUUCCAUCAUGGCUGGUUUAGUGUUCUGUCAAUUUUCUACUGUAUAGCAAGGUGACCCAGUCACACAUACAUUCUUUUUCUCACACUAUCAUGCUCCCUUAUAAGUGACUAGAUCUAGUUCCCAGUGCUAUACAGCAGGAUCUCAUUGCUUAUCCAUAUUUUUAAAUUUAUUUUCUUACCAUCCAAAAUAUUUACAUGUUUUUAGAAGAAGAAAAUGAAAAAAGAAAGAAGGCAAGAAAUUUUUGACUGUGGUCUCAGCAUUUUAUUGGCUAGCACAAUGAGUUUACAGUUCUCUGCAGAAACAAGGAGUUGAACUCACUGACGUCUAAGGUCCCUUCCAGCCUUAAACAUUUAAGAAAGAAUCUGUAACUAUUCCACAGGUGCGUCAAGCAACCUUUCUUGAAGAAGAUCGAAGAGUUAGGGCUAGAGUCUAUCUGGGGAGAUCAGUAAGAUAUAAACUGGUUAUAUUCUUAUAAUUUCAGCACAAAAUCUCAGAGUCGUGAGAAUAACUUUUCCUCCUUUUUUGUAAGAUGAAUUCUGACACCAACACUGAAGCCUACACUAGUAAUACUAAUACUAAUAACAAUAGCAACAACGAAGACGUACUUAGUCCUUACUUUGUCCCAGGACAGGGACAGUGCUUUAAACGUAUUGAUAUUUGAAAAUUGAUCUUAACAAACAAUAAUGUUUAAAUCAAUUCUAUGAGGUAAGUAUUAUGAGUGGGUCUCAUUUUACAAAUGAGAGCACCAAAACUUAACAACUUAGCUUGCAGGACAUUAUAAAUUGUAAAGCUGUAACUUGGAAGAUGCCUGACUCAAGAUAGUGUCUGAUGUAGCCCAAAGAGAGAAGGUGGCUGGAAGACCUCACAUUCUGUAGUCACUGAAGACGGAAUAGAAAGCUUUCUACAUGGAAUUUCUCAAGCAUUAUGAAGCAAAUUGUUCUGAAUAAAAUUGCAGGGAAGAGUCCCUGGUGGCCCAUGGGUUAAGGAUCUGGCAUUGUCACUACUGUGGCUCAAGUCACUGCUGUGGCUCAGAUUUGACCCCUGGCUCAGGAACUUCCAUGUGCCACAGGGACAGCAAAAAACAAACCAAACCAAAACAAACAAACAAAAACUGCAUAGAGAAUUUUGACUUUAAGAAAUGAUUCAGUGUAAAUUAGGAAGAUAUCUGAGUAACUACAAAACCUAUUAUAAUAUUAAUCUUCUAAUUGUGGAGGACAAUGUAAUUUUUUCAAAAUCUUUCUUUCCUGAACACACCUGAGCAUUAUUGUACCAGAUCCAUAGAAUUCUGUAAGUGCCAAGAAUAAAUAGCAUGACUGUGUGAAGAUCAAGAACAUGGAGCUCAGAAAGGUUGAAAAGGUUCUGAAGCGAUCAAAAGAAAGAAGAAUCUAAAUUAGACCAAGGGACUUCUACGUGCCAAGCACGGUAAGUGCAGGAACUUGAGAAAUUCUCCUGUGAGAGAGAAGCAUGGAAAUCAAUUCUUUAUAAUCUAUAGUUAAAGGAAAAUUGGAGUUCUCUUUGUGGCUCAGCGGUGACAAACCUGACUAGUAUUCAUGUGGAUGUGGGUUUGAGCCCUGGCCUCCAUUGGUGGAUUGGGGAUCGGAAUUGUCAUCAGCUGUGAUGCAAAUCGUAGACACAGCUCAGAUCCCCAGUUGAGUAAGCCAACAGCUGCAGCUCCAAUUUGACCCCUUGCCUGGCAACUUCCACAAGUCACAGGUGUGGGCCUAAAAAUACAAUAAAUAAAUAAAUCAAGGAAAAUUAAUUGUUCAAAGCUAUUUAUUAAUAUUCCACUACUGCCCAGCAUUUAUGAGGUGCACUAACUAUACAUGGACAAGACGGACUUCAUGCUGUCAUGCUGAUUUCCACAGUCUUCAUGGUGUGGGGUACUGGUUCCAUGGGCAGCCAUCCAAGGGCCCACGCUGGAAAGACCUGCCCUUGAUUUAAUGCUGUACAGUUCAGACAUGUUUGACCAGAGGCUCCACAUGUUCAUGUUGCACUUGACUCUGCUAGUUAAGUAACUUGCUCAGACCAGAAGCAUUGACAUCUUUGAGAGAUUUUUAGAAAUGUGGCGUCUGCAUCUUUGCUAUGCCCACUACUUUGGGAGUUUGGGCAUCUCAUAUAACUCUCUAAGUUUCAGAAUCUUUCCUUGCAAGAUGGAGAAAAAGUAAUAGUUGAUAAAUUAAACAAUCCAGGGUAACCCUUAGCACAGUGACAUGCAUGUGGAAAGAGAUGGUACAUUUUAGCUAAGUAUUACUGUUACUACUACAUUAUGGCCUCUCUACUUCUGUUUUGCUGCUUCUGCAAUUACUGUUAAAGAUAUUCAAGGUCUUAAAGCCUUGCCUCACUUGUUCUCAAACACAUAACCAUUUUACUUUAAUGGAUACUGUUUGCCUCAUGCUAGUCAUAGCUAUACGUGAGUUUGUACAAUAAAGUAAUAAUUGGCAGCAUGUAAACCAAGUUAGUGAGGAGUGGAAGAAUUACUCAAUGUGCCCCUUUUGCUUUUAUAUUUGUAGGAAACACUCAUCUUAGGUAAUAGGUGUUUGGUGCAAUAUGAGUUUGUAUGAAAAGGAACACAGAGCUAAGUAUUUUGUGAAAAUGGACAACUUAAAAAAUCAGGCACAGGAGUUCCCAUCGUGGAGUAGCAGAAAUGAAUCUGACCAGGAACCAUGAGGUUGUGGGUUCGAUCCCUGGUCUCACUCAGUGGGUUGGGGAUCCGACAUUGCCAUGAGCUAUGGUAUAGGUCACAGAUGCAGCUCAGAUCUGGUGUUGCUGUGGCUGUGGUGUAGGUCAGCAGCUACAGUUCUGAUUGGACUCCUAGCCUGGGAACCUCCAUAUGCUGCUGAUGUGGCCCUAAAAAAAAAGACAAAACAAACAAACAAACAAACAAAAAAACAAAACAAGUACAGGUGCAUAAUAGAAGACAAAUUUUAGUAUAUAAAAUUAUCUAAAAUUUCAAGAUAAUUUGACUGUGGUGUAGGUUGCAGAUGCAGCUCGGAUCUGGCGUUGCUGUGGCUGUGGUGUAAGCCAGCAGCUCUAGCUCUGAUUUGAAACCUAACCUGAGAACCUCCAUUUGCAGCGGGUGAAAUGCUAAAAAAGCAAACAAAAAAAAAAAAAAAAAAAAAAAAAAGAAAGAAAGAAAAAAAUGGGAUUACAUUUAGAAUCAAUCAAUCAAUUUCUUAAAAGAAUCAGUACAGUACAGUAAAAAUUUCAGGGAUGUAUAUUUUUAAAGAAUACCUUUUAUGUUUCUACUCUGUUUCCAACUAAGAGUUUGCUAAAACUGAGUUUUUAAAGGACUCAUUUUUAGGUCUUAGAAAAAUAGAGGCUUUAGGGUUUCUGACAGUAAUUCUAUUUCCAUUUUAAAUCUUUUAUAUUGAAAUUCUGUGUUUACUUAUAUAUUUUAUAUAUUUUCCAGCAUUUGAUUAAGUUCUUUACCUAAAGUAAUUCGUAAGCCCCUUAUCUUUUCAAGAGCUUCUGCACUCGCGAACUUGGAUCACAAGUAAAGAGGCUUUGCAACCACCUUCAAAGGAAGGAGUGAACAUAAUCCAUUCUGCACAGUAUAUUCUACUACCAUAACUAAAGUGUAUUUACUGGAAAAUACAAGCAAUUUGCAUGCAGUGACAAUCUUUUCCUUUGUACAGUGUCACUAUGGAUUCAUAAGCAUGCAUUUUAAACUUAUAUUAGCAAUGCUGUUCCAAGCACACUGAAUGGAAGUUGUCUUAGUCUUUUUAUCCUUUGUUUAUUCAGAGUACAUUUAAAUGACUCUUGUAAUUUUCCCUUUACACCAAACCACACAAUGUAGUACUCUCGAGUAAUACAGAGAUGUACAUUUUUCAAAAGUUUUUAUAUUGUUCUAAUAGAAAAGAAAAUGUGGUACCUCAAAAAAUCACAUUUUCUCAAAAAAGGAAUAGUGAAGCUUCUUAAUUUUUAUUGUAACUUGUAUCUUUCCCUUCUGGAGUAUAGCAAUAGGCUGGAUCUAUUUUCGUUCUCAUAGUUACUUCCUAAAGCAGGCAAUAGCUACUUGUUGGCUUUAUAAAAUGCGUUAGUGUUCUUGUUCUGACUCAGAGAUAAGCAUCAUAUAAACUGCUAACAAAGCCUACAAAUGCAAGGUUUUGUUAUAGGGACUAUGUUUUUCUGCUGUGCUCUGGCGACAUCUGCCAUUCUGGUAGCUGAUGUGGGCAGGUAUCCAUGACUUGGGUUACACACAGACAACCACAUGAGUCAUUUUUGAGGCUUAUUUUGCAACAAAUAACAUUUUUUUUAGGUCUCACAAAUGGCAGCAGAGCCAGAAAUCAUAAGAAAUAAUAACUAUAUUUGAUCACUGAAAUAAAACAAAAAUUUUCCCAGUAGAAAUGGCAAACAGACAAACCACGAUCUGAGAGAAAAAGUUCAGUAUGUGUUAGAAAAUAGGGUAAUAGUAUUACUAUGAAAGAGCUCUUAUGAGUAAGGAAAAUAUACAAAUAAAAAUUACAAAAAAAGAAAGUAAAUUCAUAAAAGAAACAAAGAGAAACAAAUAGUCAGAAAACAGGAAAAAAAUUCAAGCUCACAAAUGCAAAUCCUAUAUUUUGUCUAUCAGGAAGAUAGUGUUUUGUGUUAUUGGAGUUGUGCACCCACUACAGAUGUGGCUGUAAUAGCAGAGUUUUUAUACCAUCCUUGACAUCACAACAUGUCUACAGGGUAGAGAAAACAUGGACUAAUGAACUAUGAUAAAGAGAACAUAGGUGGAAAAUGUUUGUAAAAACAGAAAUGUAAUAUGAAAAUACUUAAUUAUCGCAUUGAUCAAACAUGUUAUAGAUUCAUAU